GAAAAUCAUGAAGGAGCAGCAAAGUUACAAGUACACGUACAUUCUCCAGAUUUAAACGUGUACAUUAUGACAUCAUAUAGUUUACUCCAUCCACUUACAUGUCAUUAAUCUACACAUACAUUCUCCAGAUUUGAAGAUGCACAUUACAACACCAUAAAUUUUACUCCAUAUGCACUUACAGGUCCUAAGUUCAUUGUAAAAAAAGGCCGCUGGAGUCCAACCAUGUGUGCAAGUUUGUAGCAAGUGUUUCACUGAUUUUGUGGGAUAGGUCAAUGAUCGUGGUCGUGGAGGACAUGCUGGAGGAGGUGGUGCCUCAAGUGGUCAAGAAGGUCGACCACCUGAUCUCAUCAAGCAUGACAAUGGCAUCGUGGACAUGCAGCGUCAGGGGAAAAGAAGCAGUGGCAGGCUGGCAAGUCAGACCAUGGAAUACUUCCUUCCCGCAAUCCUAAUGGACCUGCAAAAACCACAAGAACGCAAUUUGAGACAUGAAAGAGAUCAACUAAGGAUAGCUAGCCGCAAACAAUUUGUGAACAUAAUUAGAGAUAUGUAGGGCGGUCAUUAUUUGUGUGUAGGGGUCUAGUCCUCACCUCUGCCAAGAAAAUCAGACAAGAGAAACUAAAAAUGGAUGAGGGGGGAGAAUAUUAGAGUUGAAGGAACACAUGAUCUGGAUUAUCUUAUACCAGAGACUGAAUAAGCAGAAGGGACAAGCAGAUGACUGAUGCUGCUCCCAUUUUUUUCUGAAAGCACGAAAUAAAUGGAACACCGUCCGUUCAUGCAGAAUGGACGAAACCUAACGGGCAGGAACCCAAUCCUUAUAAGUUCACCGAAAAGAGUUACAAUGUUAAUCAAAUGCUACUUAGCAGCGAUAACAAACUCUUCAAUUGCUAUCAUGAUGCAUAACAAGUUGAAAUAGAUAACAUGUCUUUCUAUUUGCAAAGGCAUGAUAAGGAUGUAGGUAGAUAGCCAACAUGAUAUUUAUGUCACAAACUUUGCUUCACAUGCAUGAAACCAACAAUGUAUCUGAACAACAAUUCAAACAUGUCUAAUAACAUGGGGAAAAGUUAAAAGUAGUGGAGGGGAUUAUCUUGUAAACUGGGAUUCUGAUGUACCAAAAAGUAGUGUAGCCUAUGAACCAGCAGCUUGUUUGCUGUAUCCUUCAAAGGCUUUUCCAUUCAUAUCAAUCGCUAGACAUGGCAUCCAGAAAAAUUCAGAUAGUCCUCUGGCAUACACAAGAAUCUGCACCGAGUGACUUUCACCUGAAUUCCAUUGCCCCCACUGCAAAAGUAGAAAUAUCAUGAAUUCUUAACAGGCACAACUGAAAACUUUGCAUUACAUGUAAAGCAAAUUGACUAACAAAUAGAAGGACCAAGAACAAUGAUACUGUCGGACACUGCUAACAUCAAGAAAAUUAGAGGUAGUGCAUGUCACAUUUCUAUGUCUAUUUCCUGAUAUUAAAAAUAUUAUUACUCCAAUAGAUUAAUUUCAGGAUGACAGCAUAAUUUCAACUGCAUAUUUUUUUUCUAACAUGGAAAUCUGAUAAGAACAGAGAUUUUUGACGGUGCUACGGCGGGCUUACGCCGGCCUGAACCUUUUCAUUGAUAACCAGACACUAUUUACAGCAGAGGAAACANNNNNNNNNNNNNNNNNNNNNNNNNNNNNNNNNNNNNNNNNNNNNNNNNNNNNNNNNNNNNNNNNNNNNNNNNNNNNNNNNNNNNNNNNNNNNNNNNNNNNNNNNNNNNNNNNNNNNNNNNNNNNNNNNNNNNNNNNNNNNNNNNNNNNNNNNNNNNNNNNNNNNNNNNNNNNNNNNNNNNNNNNNNNNNNNNNNNNNNNNNNNNNNNNNNNNNNNNNNNNNNNNNNNNNNNNNNNNNNNNNNNNNNNNNNNNNNNNNNNNNNNNNNNNNNNNNNNNNNNNNNNNNNNNNNNNNNNNNNNNNNNNNNNNNNNNNNNNNNNNNNNNNNNNNNNNNNNNNNNNNNNNNNNNNNNNNNNNNNNNNNNNNNNNNNNNNNNNNNNNNNNNNNNNNNNNNNNNNNNNNNNNNNNNNNNNNNNNNNNNNNNNNNNNNNNNNNNNNNCUUGCGCUUGCUCAUUAGUACAUCUGCUAGACCAAAGCAGAACAUCAUCAGCGGCAGAACGAGCGAUGAGGUGAACCGGUUGAGUGUCGUCCCUGAAGACUUUUGCAUUCCUUCUUUUCCAAAUGUUCCAAAGGAUGGCGAUGAUUAUUGUAGAGUGAACUUUAUUCUGCAUGUCGUUGGCCCAAAGAUCCGAAAGAUCUGCGGGUAUAUCUGGAGUGAGAGAGGAUAGUUCUCUCCACAGAGUAGUGAGCUCCGGGCAGUGCAGAAGCAGGUGGUUUACGGACUCUGUCCCCGGACAGAGAGGGCAAGCCGGAGAAGUAGCGAUGCCUCGACGAAAACGCCGUUCGUUGGUGAAGAGACGAUUCUUGUUUGCCAGCCAGAGGAAAAUUCUACAUUUGUUUGGAGCGAAAUUCUUCCAGAUGGCCAUUGCCAAGGGAUCGACAGGCUCUCCCUCCCACAUAGCCUUGUAUGCCGCGUUGCAAGUCAGCGGCUUGCCAUCAAAUCGACCUGUUCGGCGGUCUAGUUCCUGCAAAUUCAAGGAAACAGAAGCCAGCAAGUUGCGUAGGCAGCCCAGUUCAAGUUCAGCAGCAUUAGUUAGGCGUGGAGCGAGAUCGAGGCACAGAGCCGGUGAGCUUAGAACCCUGGCAACAGAAGCCGAGGGUCGGAGAACAUGAGAGAACAGAGCAGGGUACCGUGAAGCGAGAAUAUCUGUAGAGCGCGGAACCCAGAGAUCAAGCCAGAAGGCAGUGGAAGUGCCGUUGCCGACGUCCACCUGUGUUAAGCUCCGAAAGAGGGGGAUCCCCUUGGCGAUAUCACGCCACACAUGGGAAUCAUGAGCAUGAGUAGUACCUAGGUCCUGGUCUUCGGACCACCCAUAUCUAGCAGCCAACGGAGAAACCCCGCGAGCCGUAGAUCGUGAGUAGAUAGAGGAAGGCCGAGGUAGGACUGGGGGAAAGAAGCAACCGGGCAACCAAAAAUGUUGGCUAAAUCGUUGGCUAACUCAGGAGGCACGUGGAUGGGGGCAAACGUGCUCUUAUGGAAGUUGAUAUGCAACCCCGUGGCUUGAGAGAAUUGAAGCAGGAUAGCUUUUAAGGUCUGAAGUUGAGCAGCCUCCGCCGGCAAGAUGAUCAACGUAUCGUCAGCGUACUGAAGAACUGGGCAAGGAAGCUCCUGAUUAAUUAGGUGAGCUAACCUACCAUCAUUGGAGGACUGGUAGAUCAGACGCUGAAGGACAUCAGCAACAAUAAUGAAAAGAUAGGGAGAAAGCGAGUCGCCCUGUCGUAGCCCCUGUUUGCAGUUGAUCCAAGGGCCAGGCUUGCCAUUCAGAACAACAGCCGACUGACUAGAACGGUUCAGGCUGUCAACCCAAUUGCACCAAAUCUCGGGGAAGCCCUUGGCAAGCAUGAUAGCUCCCAGAGCGGUCCAGGAGACCGAGUCAAAUGCUUUUUUGAAGUCAAGUUUAAGCACAAUAGCUGCUUUUUUGCGCUUAAAGCACGUUUGAACAAUAUCAGCGGCAUACGUAAAGUUAUCCGCAAUGCUUCUACCUUUGAUAAAUCCAUAUUGAUCCUGGUGGAUGAUAGAGAAGAUAAAUGGUUGGACUCUAGAGGUAAGGCAUUUGGAGGUAAGCUUGAUGGUGCAAUUUUGAAGGGAGACCGGACGGAAGUUGUCCGGAGAGGUAGCACCUACUGUUUUGGGAAGAAGCACGAUGAAGGCUUUGUUAAUACGAUUUAGUUGGACAGUACCCUUAUGAAACUCUUCCAUAAGGGCCAGAAGAUCAAAUUUCACGAGGUCCCAAUUGGCCUUGAAGAAAGCCGGGCCAAAACCGUCUGGACCCGGGCUUGCAUUCGAGUUCAUGGCCAGAACCGCCGCACGAAGCUCAUCCAUAGAGAAAGGCCGAGACAGGGAAAGCGCCUGAGAGUGAGUUAGCUGGGAGUCGCGAAAGAGAUUCGGAAGAUCGAACUUGAAGGAGGAUUGGGCGGAAGUGCCAAGCAAGUCGGUGAAGUAGCUAUGAAGAACGCGUUCUUUGCCUAGGUGGGAGGAGAUGUCUUGGCCAUCAACAUGAAGAGUCUUGAUUUGAUUUUUGCGAAACCGAACGGAGGCACAGGCAUGAAUGUAGGCCGAAUUCUCAUCUCCAAUAGUGCACUCUCGCAACUUGGCCCGUUGCCGCCAGUAGUCCGCCAGGCUUUUAUUGUAACGAUGAAGCGCUACCUUAACCGCCAUUCGGAGACUAAGCUCAAGAGUUGAAAGGGGUCUAAACUCCUCCAGCUUGUCGAGGAAAUCGAUGGUUGUAGUGCAGUUUGUAGCCAGACGCUUUGGGGUUUUAGCAUUAACUGCCCACUUUUUCGCAACAUUUCUAGACCGUUUUAAUUUUAGGCAAAGCUUGCCCGCGCUGCCCAAAUGGGAGUGGCGAGGACCCACGCUAGACCAGGUGGUUGAGAUUUGCUGCAGAAACGAGUGGUUAGACAGGAGACAGUUAUUAAGCCUGAAGAUUGAGGGUUUUGGUAUGUCCGAGGAUGCAUGUAACAAAAUCGGGACGUGAUCCGAGGUAGUCCUUGUCAAAGAAGAGAGCGUGGAGUCCGGGAACACCGAUGACCAAGCCAUGUUAACGAAAGCCCUAUCUAGCCGGACUAGAGUAGGGUUGUCUUGUUGAUUAGACCACGUGUAGAGACGGUCUAGGAGCGGGAUUUCUUGGAGCUGCAUGGAGUUAAUGGCCGAAGCAAAUAGCCUAGCUUCGUUAGAGUUAAAGUGGUUGGAAGAUUUGUCUCUUGGGCGAAGAAUAAGGUUGAAAUCCCCGAAUACCAGCCAGGGGCAAGUAAUCGUAGACGACGCAAGGAUUAGGGAGUCCAAGAAUUCUUGUUUAAGGGAAAGAUCGCACGGCCCAUAUACGUUGGUAAUAGCGAAGGAAACGUCAGUUGCCCGGAAGGAGAACCAACACGUGAUGAAGAACCGGUCUAGAUGAACGUUAGUGCACUCUAGAUUAGCGUCGUCCCAAGCGAUUAGCAGCCCCCCAGAUGCCCCAACCGACGGGAGGUAAUGGAAGUUUCUAAGGCCGAUCGGCAGAAAAGAGACAGCCUUAAAAGGUGGAAUAUCUUGCAGCUUAGUUUCUUGAAGGCAAAGGAUCAAACCUUGGGCAGAUUGUAAGGCUUUUUUUACAUCAACACAUUUGUUCGGGCGUCCAAGACCCCGAACAUUCCACGAGGCGAUGUUAAGGCUUUUAGUCAUUGGAUAACAGAUUAGGCGACGAGGGACAGAUAUAAUAGCAAUAGUGGUAGAUAACGAUGCCCGUGCGGGGCCAGGUUACAGCGGAUAGCAGAAACAAACUGGGGUCGAAGCUAUCUAGGGAGAACCCUAGAACUACAGAAAGAGAUACCCCGAUGACAGCACUAGCACAGCUGCGAGAUACGAAUACAUAGGGGGGAGAGAGACAAGGCGGCAUGCUACAACGGUAAAAGACAAGGUUGCUACAACUAAAAUUGCCCAGGGAGUUGCAGCCGCAGGGAAUGAAAGACCGGUAGCAGCGCCGUUGCCGACCGAAGAAGAUGAGGCUGUCACACAUCGGAGAACUCGGGUGCCACCUUGUUCAGGUCGAUCUCGGAGACCCCGCAAGCUUCCACCAGCUCCAGCACGUCCGGGCGAGGCAGAGGGGACGGCUCCUUCGCCGCCAGCUCCAUGAGUUCGGCCGCCGGCAGGAGCCCAGGGGAAGAAACUUUCUGCCUGAGUCCCUCCAGCUUGGACUUCUUGAGCAGCGUGGCCUUCUCGAGCAUUGACAUGCGCCUGGGUUCUUCCCUCUCCUUGAGACGAGCGUUGCGGCGAGUGAAGACGAUGGAAGUUUUGCCCUUGGGAGGCAGCACCGGGACGAAGGUGGGGGAAGAAGGCGGCGGCGUAGUAGGCGAGGCCGGCGGGGCCUCGAGUAGCAGAGGCGCUGGAGGGGGGGCUAUGGGGGCGCCCGAGUCAAAGCGCUCGAGGGCUUCCAUGACCUGGGCCUCCCCGGAGACGAUGUUGCCGAAACUGCGCCCGCGCCAGUCCAUGCAGAAGAUGUCGGCGUCGGUGAUGGGCUUGCGCCUCUCCCCCACCGUGCCAACCUUGUUUAGGUAUCCAAUGGAGCAGGAAGCAAGAUUGGCAACGAUGAGGCGCGGGGAGCCUGCUGGGCGCAUGGGGAUGCGGUAGAAGCACCUCUCGCCGUUCCUGCCGGUGAUGCGGAUGUCGUAGAAGCCGGUGAACAGCUUGACGUCGACAGCGGCCAGACGAGCGUCGAGGGGGACCGCCACCACCAUUGGCUUGUGGUUGGCCAUCAUGGUCUGGCCCCCGGGUAGAACCACCACACGGUCGCGGUAGAGCGCGUCCGAGGGCGGUGGAGGGGGCGGAGCCAUGGCCGCAUCCAUAUCAGCAGGGAAGUCUCCAUCUCCACCGUCACCCCCAUCAUCGCCUCCAUCGCCUCCCCCAUAGCUGGUGUCGGAGUCGGAGUCAACAGGGAAGGCGGGGUUCGGUGGCAGCUCCUCCGAGCGUACCACCAGGACCGUAGCGAUCGCACCGAGGCCCGAGAAGCCGUGGAUGGGGAUGGAGUGAGGGACAUCGGUGAGGGUCCUGCUCUUGACAGAGACGAGGACGGCCGAGUAGUCAACGCCGGUGAGGCAGAUAGGAUCUAUCUGGAUGGGACAAGCAAAGGGGACCACGGAAUUGGUGAUAGUGUCGGCGAACCAGUACUCGAUGGGAAAGUCUUCGAUGUUCAAGGCGGAAACCGUGCCCAGGCGAAACAGGAACCUGUUGUCAGUGUCCUCGCGGCGGACCAGCUGGACAGAGUUAACUGGGCAGUUGAAAGGGCUGGAAAGGCAGGAGAUUUCUCAUUCAUAGGCCGAGCCAAAGAUGACGAGGCCCGCUCCAUGAGAAGAAGCCCUAAUGGCCACCUGGGGGUCCCCCGCCCCGGAUUGGAGAGCUCUGCGGAUGGAAGCGUGGGGAGAUGGGCACGGUGGGUUGACAAAGGCAAAGGCAAGGUUCUGGAAGUGCUCAAGAGGAACAUGUGGCAUGAAGACAUUGGAGUAGUCUCGGCGAUGUCGCGGAGGAGAAGGAGGGAACAUGGGUGGGAUUGCAUCCGAAUCAGUGGAUUCCUCCCCUGAUUCAAAUUCAAUCUCCUCCGGAUCCUCUUCCUCCUCGUCAUCUUCGGCGGCAUCAACUUGCUCAGGGAAGGCGAAAACGCGUGGUGGUGGGGAGGCCAUGCGGGGGGGAGAAGGAAGCUCGCCAUCCUCGGAGGAGGAGGAGAAGAUCUCGAAGGGCACCGGGAUGAAGUCAGCCAUUGGGGCUGCGAUGGAAGAGGAGGAUCUACCGGGAGGCGGAGCAGGAGGAGAGCUAGGCUCGGAGGGUGUUUGAGGGAUGUGAGAAGGGGUGGAUGAGGAGCCGAGGCUUGGGGGUGGUAAAAUAGCCACGCAAUGGUGCUGGGCAUGCCCCACCUGCCAGCAUCUCCGGCAUCGAAACGGGUCUCGGCACUCCUGCAUGAAGUGAUCACGCGCAAGGCAGCGAUGGCAGCGCAUGCUGAAAUCAGGGUUUCUGGGGAUGGAGAGAUGGAAUGAUUUCAGCCGAGGAGGGGUAUGCAUGCUAUAGGAGGGGGAGGAGAGGACACGGGCGUAGGAUUCUUUGCCGCCACCAAUGGGUGUGGAGCGCACGGGGUUUGAGGAAUUGGCAGCCGGCAGAGGCGAGGAAAAGGUUUCGGGAGGGACGUAGUCACAUCCCGUGAACAGAGCCCUAGUUGGCGUUUGUGGUUUGGGCUGGCAGGGUGGCAUGCAUGCCGGAUACGACAUCCAGGGAAGAGGGCCUUCAGGCCUUGGCAGUAUUCCAGGCGCCAGCAGAUCGAUCGGGAUCACCCUGCGCGAGCGAACGGGCUUGGAAGCGAGGCGAGAUGUGGUUGGCUGCAUGCUGAUCUCCAUGCAGCGGCCUACGUCCUGGGGGCGAUCGUAUGUAGGCCAUGGCAGCGGGCCCAGGGGAGUGGGCAAGAUUCCACAUGCAAGGACGUCCAAAAUGACAGAACGCAUGGCAGGUUUCACUGGGCGGGUUGGGCACGCGGUACGGGACUGCACAGGAACUAAUUGACUAUAGACUAGGUGACCAUCACGGGGGGUACUAGUACGAGCAUGGGGAGCAGCAGCCAGUAUGUCAACUUGCUCCUGUUGAGGGGAGGCCGAGGGAAGUGGAUCAGACGGCAAGCCCGAGGAACUGGCGAGACGGUCAGCAUCGGCAGCGCGCGUGGAGCGUUGGUCAGAGCGCGUUGCAUCAGCGAGGGUCAAAGGAGGCGAGGGAAGGGAAGAGCUCGGCGGGAAGGAGGGCGCAGCCGGUAAUUCAAACUCAGCCACGAAAAGCCUCGGAGGAGCGUAGGCACGUGCCGGAGGAUCAACGUGGAAUGAGACGACAGUACCCUGAUAAUUGAUACCCUCCAAAGAGACAAUGAACUGGGCAAUACGCUUACUAGCAACCGAAACCGAGAAUAAGCAAGCACUAAACUAACGACAAACAGGGGUUUCGAAAGCAGAGCCUAACCAAGACUUAAGCAGGGCGGCAAUGGAGGAGGCGGCGGGCGGUGGCGACGGCAGCAACACUUGGACCCAUACCAAAUCCGGAGAUGUCGUGGCCGGCGACGGAGUGAGAGGGAAACAUACCGGCGAGGAGAACUGAGUCAGCGAGUAGUGAAGAAGGGCAUCGCCCGGCGUCCGAAGAAGCGGAGGCGAAGUCCCAGCCAGCCGACGACGCAGCAUGGACGGAGUGGAGGCGGCGAGGAAGCCCGGCCGGAAGGGCGACGCCAAGAGCAGCUCCUCCUUCGACGCGAAGGAGAUGGAGGGAGGGAGCCAAACUCCGGCAGCGUCCGUCCCUCCAAGAGAAGCAUCACGCGGCCCGAGGACGCCCGAGGCAGCGAAACCCCCCGGCGCUCGCGCAAGGGCAGCUCGCAGGCCGAUCUCCAUGGAGGCAGCAGCGUCUAGGGGAGACCGAGGAGGUGGCCGCUGCGGCCGGAGUGGCCGGCGGCGCAUGCGAGAUGUGGAUCGCCUACCUAGAAGCUCAUACAUCUUUUGCUCCGGUCGGUCUUGGGGACGUCUGGAGGUGGAGCAGGUGAAGGAGGAUCAACAUCAUUAUCAUGGCAAGUUGUGCUGCUCUAAGAACAGAGAUUAACCUGAAGCCAAUUGAAGAUUUACCAAAACUGAAGCUAAAUCUGUUCAUAUCAACCAAGCACCCAACUUGUCUAAUAAUACGAGCACGUAUUCCUUUAUGUAUCAACCAAGUUCCCAACUUGUUGAUUAAAAAUGAGCCUCUGUAUACUAAAUAACAUAGAACACAAGGACACUAACAGUGUAACAUUCAUCAUAAUCCAACCAAUCACCAUUGGCUGCCCCUCUUUGCACCCUAAUUGAUAUUUAUCAUGUAUACCUUUUGGUUUAAUCAUUUGUAUUUUCCUAUUAUAGUCUUUCAUUUCCUCUUUCUUUCCUUAAUUUCUCUCUCAUUGACUCUUUGCUACUCUUCUCCUCAAGCGUUGAUCGCACUUCCUGCUAUACCUAGUUUGACCCAAAGGAGACAAACAUGAUGUUUGUUUACGCUGUCCUCCCACCCAAUCGAAGGAACGAACCUUGUGCGCGCCGAUGGAGGUCGAAGAUGCCGCGGGCUGCUGCAGCUGGGGCAGGAGGAUACGCGGGACUGGCAGAGGGCCCGGCGGAGGAGACGCCAGUGGAGGUUGGCCGGAAGAGGACGAGCAAGCCGCGGGCUGGCCGGAGGGGACACCGAUGGAGAUUGGCCGGG
This 9839-nucleotide long non-coding RNA is filed under the name Triticum aestivum (bread wheat). RNAcentral's name for it is "long non-coding RNA (TAES_LNC028233)". The record is from RNAcentral. Lineage: Eukaryota; Viridiplantae; Streptophyta; Magnoliopsida; Poales; Poaceae.